UGGGGAAUAUUGCACAAUGGGCGCAAGCCUGAUGCAGCCAUGCCGCGUGUGUGAAGAAGGCCUUCGGGUUGUAAAGCACUUUCAGCGAGGAGGAAGGUGGUGAGCUUAAUACGCUCAUCAAUUGACGUUGCUCGCAGAAGAAGCACCGGCUAACUCCGUGCCAGCAGCCGCGGUAAUACGGAGGGUGCAAGCGUUAAUCGGAAUUACUGGGCGUAAAGCGCGCGCAGGCGGUUUGUUAAGUCAGAUGUGAAAUCCCCGGGCUCAACCUGGGAACUGCAUUUGAAACUGGCAAGCUAGAGUCUCGUAGAGGGGGGUAGAAUUCCAGGUGUAGCGGUGAAAUGCGUAGAGAUCUGGAGGAAUACCGGUGGCGAAGGCGGCCCCCUGGACGAAGACUGACGCUCAGGUGCGAAAGCGUGGGGCAGCAAACAGGAUUAGAUACCCUGGUAGUCCACGCUGUAAACGAUGUCGAUUUGGAGGUUGUGCCCUUGAGGCGUGGCUUCCGGAGCUAACGCGUUAAAUCGACCGCCUGGGGAGUACGGCCGCAAGGUU
This 549-nucleotide ribosomal RNA is filed under the name uncultured bacterium. RNAcentral describes it as "partial 16S ribosomal RNA". It matches the Rfam family "Bacterial small subunit ribosomal RNA", at positions 355 to 895 of the family's 1533-position model. The record is from RNAcentral.